UACGUAGGGGGCGAGCGUUGUCCGAAGUUACUGGGCGUAAAGCGCGCGUAGGCGGGCUGUUAAGUGAGAGGUGAAAGGCUGGGGCUCAACUCCAGCAGUGCCUCUCAUACUGGCAGUCUUGAGGGCGGUAGAGAGAAGUGGAAUGGCUGGUGUAGCGGUGAAAUGCGUAGAUAUCAGGAGGAACACCGAUGGCGAAGGCAGGUCUCUGGGCAUUAACUGACGCUGAGGAGCGAAAGCAUGGGGAGCGAACAGG
Molecule: ribosomal RNA, 253 nt
Filed under: uncultured bacterium
Lineage: Bacteria
Description: partial 16S ribosomal RNA
Rfam family: Bacterial small subunit ribosomal RNA
Source: RNAcentral